Non-coding RNA from Poecilia reticulata (guppy), 1099 nucleotides. The record is from RefSeq and is a predicted model, not a curated record. NCBI's taxonomy places the organism in Eukaryota, Metazoa, Chordata, Actinopteri, Cyprinodontiformes, Poeciliidae.
GUCAAUAGCUUUCUGGAAUUUUGGACCAUUCUUCCAAACUGAACUGGUGUAACUGGUCAAGUUGGUAGGCAGCCAUAUUUCAAUAUUUUCUAUGGUGCCCUGAAAUUUUCAAAAACCUAAAUCAGACCUAAUUAAGCAUCUAAAAUGCUGACCAUUUUAGUGAAGUUUGUUGUCUUUAUACAGUUAUUUGUUUGACUUUUUUCAAACUUCUUUUAUCUCAUCCAAGCUUUCCGUUUUCAUCUAUGAUUUAGGUGCUCAGUUUGUGAAACGGCCUCCAAAAUCAUAGCUUUCCAUAGCCAGAACACUCUGACACCUGAAUGUCCCAGAGGUUGGGAGACCCUGUGGMCUGGUUACUCGUUUAUAAUGCAAACCGGAGCGGGAGCAGAAGGCUCCUCCCAACCCCUGAUGUCUCCUGGGUCAUGCAUGGAAAAUUUCCGCCGAGUGCCUUUUAUUGAGUGUCACGGCAGAGGCACCUGCAAUUACUACCCUGAUUCCUACAGCUACUGGCUAGCCUCCCUUGACCGAAACAACAUGUUCAGUAAACCGGUUCCCCAGACUGUGAAAGGMUUUUCUCUAGAGAGAGUCAUCAGUCGUUGUCGGGUCUGCAGAAAAUCCUGAAACUGUGGCACUGGUGCAAACUGGAGAAGAUGUUUAAAUUCACAAUUUGUGAAAUAGAUGGAAGAAUUUUAGUAACAUGUAUUGGUUGUACUUUUAAAUACUUGGUCGUUUUACAUUUGUAUUACCAUCAUCUUUGGUGAUUAUUCUGUAUAUUCUGGAAAUGCACURAAUCUUGUAAUUCUGUGCUUCAGCACAAUGGGGACAUUACUACCGAGUUGGGUUUUUAAUACUGUUUUUUUUCACUUUAGUUUUCAUUUUCCUUUUCUUUAUAUUAUUUUCAUAAUAGGAGUUACAGACAGACAGGACAUUUAUUGUCAAAACAAACCCGAACUUUGACAACUYUUGGCAUUUAAACCCACUACACAGCCCAUGUUGUAAUUUUCACAAUAUGUUAAUUGAUUUUAUGAUGGGUUUUUUUUCCUUCCAAUAACUCUUUCACAACACUGACUAAAAUUUAUACUAAUAAAAAUAUCCCUCCUUA